GGUGAACGCUGGCGGCGUGCCUUAGGCAUGCAAGUGGAACGAUGUGACUUCGGUCACAAGUCGCGAACGGCUGAGUAACGCGUAAGUAUCUACCCAAUGGUGGGGAAUACCCAUCCGAAAGGAUGGUUAAUACCGCAUAAGAUCUAUGGAUGAAAGGGCUUAACUGCCCGCCGAUGGAGGAGCUUGCGUACCAUCACGCUUGUUGGUAGGGUAACGGCCUACCAAGGCUACGACGGUUAGGGGAUGUGAGAGCAUGAACCCCCAGAAAGGCACUGAGACACGGGCCUUACACCUACGGGUGGCAGCAACUAGGAAUAGUGCGCAAUGGACGAAAGUCUGACGCCGCGACGCCGCGUGAGGGAUGACGGCCUUAGGGUUGUAGGGGCUCUUUUGCCAGAAGGGAGACCGACUGGAGAAUAAGCACCCGCUAACUACGUGCCAGCAGCUGCGGUGAUACGUAGGGUGCAAGCGUUGCCCGGAUUUACUGGGCGUAAAGCGUUUCGUAGGCUUUUUGGUAAGUUGUACUUUAAAGACCGGGGCUCAACCUCGGAAAGGGGUACAAUACUGCCAGAAUUGAAGAAUUUAGGGGCUACUGGAACUUAUGGUGUAGGAGUGAAAUCCGUUGAUAUCAUAAGGAACGCCAAGGGCGUAGGCAGGUAGCUGGGAAUUUCUUGACGCUGAGGAACGAAAGCUAGGGUAGCGAAGGGGAUUAGAGACCCCCGUAGUCCUAGCCGUAAACGAUGCUCGCUAGGGGUGUGCUCUUCGGAGUGCGUUCCGUAAGCUAACGCGUUAAGCGAGCCGCCUGGGGAGUACGAUCGCAAGAUUAAAACUCAAAGGAAUUGACGGGGACCCGCACGACCAGUGGAGCAUGUGGUUUAAUUCGAGACGAACCGAAGAACCUUACCUGGACUUGACAUUCUAGGCAUUAGGAACCUAGAGAUAGGAUUUGAUUCUUCAUAUGAAGAAACCUAGAACAGGUGCUGUAUGGCUGUCGUCAGCUCGUGCCGUAGGGUGUUCCCUUCAGUGGGGUAACGAGCGCAACCCCUGUCGUAUGUUAUAUUUUCAUACGAGACAACUUAAGUCAUACUUAAGAGGAAGUGGGGACGACGUCAAGUCAGCAUGGCCCUUAUGUCCAGGGCUACACACAUGCUACAAUGGAGCCGACAAAGGGUUGCCAAGUGGUAACACGGAGCUAAUCCCAUCAAACGGCUUCUCAGUGGGGAUUGAGGGCUGCAAUUCGCCCUCAUGAACGUGGAAUUGGUAGUAAUCGCGGAUCAGCCAAGCCGCGGUGAAUACGUUCUCGGGUCUUGUACACACCGCCCGUCAAGGCAGUAAAGUUGGAGGCACCCGAACACCGUUUGUAACGGUGGAAGGUGAAGCCAGCGAU
This 1387-nucleotide ribosomal RNA is filed under the name uncultured bacterium. Its description in RNAcentral is "16S ribosomal RNA". It matches the Rfam family "Bacterial small subunit ribosomal RNA". The record is from RNAcentral.